AACAUCGCGCACCUGCGGGAACCUGCGGAGGGAUCAUUACUUUCAGUACUUUGGGGGCUGUAAGCCUGUAUUCGUACAGUGAGCCUCCGUCUGAAACCCUUGUCUUUUGCGUACCUAUUGUUUCCUCGGCGGGCUUGCCCGCCGUUUGGACAACCUUAAAACCUUUUUGAUUUUCAAUCAGCGUCUGAAUAAAUUUAAAUAUUUACAACUUUUAACAACGGAUCUCAGAUCGGAAGAGCA
Molecule: unclassified non-coding RNA, 240 nt
Filed under: soil metagenome
Description: partial contains 5.8S ribosomal RNA, internal transcribed spacer 2, and large subunit ribosomal RNA
Source: RNAcentral